CUCUCAUUUUGAUUACAAAGAAAGUAAUUGACCUUAAGAAGGAAAAGAUAAUGCCAGACCCUUAAAUUCAACUAUGACCUUCAGGAUUCAUGAGGAACAUGACAGAUAUAAGAAAGUAAAUGAUUUCCUAGAUCCUGUUGUUUGCAAUCCUUGGGCAGUUUCCAUUCACAGCCAGGAAGACUGAAUUCCCACUAUGCAGGCACUACAUCAUGAAACCUGAUGACAUGGCAGAUGGCAUGUCAUAGAGGCAAUUCCUACUAUGCUUUCAGGCUAUAUUUGCAUGAUCACUGUCAAUGAUUGCAAUGCCCAAGUCUCAGUCCUUAGUCUAUAGAGCAGAAAUAGGACUCUUUGCAGUACUCAAGACUCAGUGAAUAAUCUAUCCAAGACACAUACAGUAGUAUAAAUUCAGGUUCAAGAG
RNAcentral lists this long non-coding RNA (418 nucleotides) under Bos taurus (domestic cattle). RNAcentral describes it as "long non-coding RNA NONBTAT026795". The record is from RNAcentral. Lineage: Eukaryota; Metazoa; Chordata; Mammalia; Artiodactyla; Bovidae.